This 237-nucleotide long non-coding RNA is filed under the name Gallus gallus (chicken). The record is from RNAcentral. Lineage: Eukaryota; Metazoa; Chordata; Aves; Galliformes; Phasianidae.
UCUUAUUUAAAGUUAAUUCUUGAAGAGGUGAUGUGUAGUCCCUAAUUCACUUCUGCAAGCAGGGCGUCUUACAGUGUUUGGAAGCACUGUCUGUCCGUGAGCACAUCUACAGGGUAUGCAGAGGCAGUAAUGGUAGGACAUCAGUCCACUGCAGUCCACGUCAGCUCUGUGGGAGUUCAGGUUUUUCUGUCAUUCUCCACCGCCGCUGCUCCCGUCAGCGCCGCGCGGACGCAUCCC